AGAGUUUGAUCAUGGCUCAGAUUGAACGCUGGCGGCAUGCUUUACACAUGCAAGUCGAACGGUAACAGGUCUUCGGAUGCUGACGAGUGGCGAACGGGUGAGUAAUACAUCGGAACGUGCCUAGUAGUGGGGGAUAACUACUCGAAAGAGUAGCUAAUACCGCAUGAGAUCUACGGAUGAAAGCAGGGGACCUUCGGGCCUUGUGCUGCUAGAGCGGCUGAUGGCAGAUUAGGUAGUUGGUGGGGUAAAGGCUUACCAAGCCUGCGAUCUGUAGCUGGUCUGAGAGGACGACCAGCCACACUGGGACUGAGACACGGCCCAGACUCCUACGGGAGGCAGCAGUGGGGAAUUUUGGACAAUGGGCGAAAGCCUGAUCCAGCAAUGCCGCGUGCAGGAUGAAGGCCCUCGGGUUGUAAACUGCUUUUGUACGGAACGAAAAGCCUGGGGCUAAUAUCCCCGGGUCAUGACGGUACCGUAAGAAUAAGCACCGGCUAACUACGUGCCAGCAGCCGCGGUAAUACGUAGGGUGCAAGCGUUAAUCGGAAUUACUGGGCGUAAAGCGUGCGCAGGCGGUUUUGUAAGACAGUGGUGAAAUCCCCGGGCUCAACCUGGGAACUGCCAUUGUGACUGCAAGGCUAGAGUGCGGCAGAGGGGGAUGGAAUUCCGCGUGUAGCAGUGAAAUGCGUAGAUAUGCGGAGGAACACCGAUGGCGAAGGCAAUCCCCUGGGCCUGCACUGACGCUCAUGCACGAAAGC
Molecule: ribosomal RNA, 755 nt
Filed under: uncultured bacterium
Lineage: Bacteria
Description: bacterial SSU rRNA
Rfam family: Bacterial small subunit ribosomal RNA
Source: RNAcentral